UCCAAUGUGGUGUAGUGGUUAACAUUGCUGUCUUUCACCUGUCGAUGUUCACAGCAGCCCGGGGUUCGAUUCCCCGCAUUGGAA
Lentinula guzmanii is the source of this 84-nucleotide non-coding RNA. The record is from the annotation of a GenBank genome assembly. NCBI's taxonomy places the organism in Eukaryota, Fungi, Basidiomycota, Agaricomycetes, Agaricales, Omphalotaceae.